Lolium perenne is the source of this 2207-nucleotide long non-coding RNA. RefSeq lists it as uncharacterized. The record is from RefSeq and is a predicted model, not a curated record. NCBI's taxonomy places the organism in Eukaryota, Viridiplantae, Streptophyta, Magnoliopsida, Poales, Poaceae.
AGAUUUGAGGAAUCGGCUCGCAGUCCAUGUACACCGCGCACCACACGCAUGACCUCACCCAUCCGCAACGCCGCCUCCCCCAGCAUCCGCCGCCGCCGCGCCGGGCGAGAGCGCCAUGGAUGGUGCUACCGUGCGAGCACGGCAUGUCAUGGUAGUAUAUUCUCCAUCGUCUUGGGCCAUCUCCGCCGCUGAUUAGAAGCCAUCUGUUCGCUCCUCGUCUCCUCUCUUUCAGCAUCACCGCCACCGCCAGUACCGGCCGUCUCCGCCGCCGAUUGGCGCCGCCAUGGAGCAGCCGGACUACGCUUAUUACCCAUCUACUCCCUCUCUCGUUCUCGCUGUCGCCGCCGCCCAGUACUGCCGCCUCGCUAUUCUGCUGCUAACCCUAGCCGCCUCUACCCAAGAUGAGGAGAUGCCUUGGAUCGCAGCCAUCGUACAUCGGAAUCUACAUGAGUGAAGGUUCAGCAGCGGAGGGCUACAUGGGGCAUCACCAUCCUCCAUAGCAGACGUGAUGAACAGCGGGACGGUCGGAAGGAGUUCCUUCGAGUCCCCGGCCACAUCUCCGGUGAGCCAUGUCUGGCGGCGGGUGCAGCGUCUGUACAAUCUGGAUCUCACGCCGCUCGAAGCGGUCGCCUUUUUCAGCAAGGCUGGCAUGCACUUUGGGGAGGCAUAUGUGAACAUCGAAGAGCUUUGUGCACUUCAUAUGCGAGCGUCAGUUUGAGCUUUGUGCCCUUUGGCUUUGACGAUGCAUGAUGAGAAGCGAUGACUGUCAGGUGUAAGCUAUCAACACAGAUUUGUUCAUUGGAGACGAUGCUACAGUUUCCUUAUUCUGCCAAUACGUUCCCCCCUCUCUUCAGUUUGGUCGUCCUUUGGUCGUCCACCUCCCCACCGCGCACCACAAGGUCCUUCCAAGGCAGAAGCUAGAGUUGUGAAGAUCAAGGAUUGAAUUCCAGUUUCUACAGACACAGUAGCCAUCCGUCCUCGCCCCAUGUGCUCCGCCCAACAAGGUAUGAGCUCCCUUUAUGUUUAGAAAUAGGGUUGAUUUUCUUGGAAUUUUUCAGUACUACAUAUAAUAUUGGCAUUGCAUGUUAUAUGUACAUGUUUAUUUGGUUAACCAUUCACCAAGUGCAUGCAAUAUUUUCUGUCCCACGCUGCGGCGAGGAUGGAGGCAUAGAAGGAGCGUGACGGUGCGGGCUCGCAGCCCUACCUUUCCGAUUCGCCUCCUUAUCUGUAGUGGCUGCUACUCAAUCAAUCUAACCUGCACAAAUCGGAAUAUGGUGGCAGCGUUGCAUGAACGGAUGCAUACAUGUAUCUGAUCCUCUAUGAGUUCAUUAACUACACGAAAAGCUAUACAGGAAUGUUUACACCACCAUGCAGCACUUGUCGGGAGAGGAAGCGUCUUUUGACAGGACAUCUGAAAUUAAAAUGUGUGUGAUAGAAAAAGGCUUCUACAUGACUAUAUGAUUUGCUGCAUGAGACCAGAUGAUUCUUCUGGUUAAUGCAUUUGUGAGAAAUCCAAGAACAAAGGAGAAACUGGUAUUCAGGGUUAAGAGGGCCAGAGGGCCAGCCUCAUGGAUUACUUCCAACAACAUCCGGAGGGUGCAGUACUACAUAUUUUGAUUGAUUACCAAGUGUUGGUGUACUAUACUCUUCAGUUCUUCAGAACUUUAUGAACUCGAGUGAGAUUCUCUGAAGAAAAAAGUUAAGGAGACAAUACUCAGUAUCUACUUCAAUCUCAAUUAUAAACACAAGAUGUGUGUGUGUUGUCAAGUGCAAACCUCUAGAGAUUGAUUUCACUAUCAUGCAAUACUUAAGGAUCAAGGUUUGUGGUUGAUACAUUAAAAUUCUGCUCUUUUACUUAUGGUGACAUCCCAAUGUAAAUGGAUCAUUAGGUUUGUUAUGUGCACUACCAUGACCUCCAUCGAUAAUGGUACCAUCUUCUAUAGUUUUAUGGUCGUCAGUCGAGUUCUGCACACAGAUUAGCAAUGAAGGUGCAGUGCUGGAGUUGAAGGUUGAGGUGAGUGGCACACAAAGGAGGGGCGAAUAGAAAUGGAGGCAAAGCUGGUAUAUAUAUUUCUUUUUAAAUUUGGGAUAACGCUAGAGCGACUGGAGUUGGGUAAUGUUGAGUCACCGCGCCUACUAUAUAUAUGUAUAGCAGGACAUUGGAAUAUCUUUCGCGAAAUUGAUUGAGAUAUGUUCAAAUUUAUGAA